CUUUCUUCCUGAUUUUUUCUCUCUCCGCCAUUGAUGCUGCUCUUCUACAUCAAUGUAGUUAACAAGCAGCAAUCUAGAAUUGCACAUCUAGAUUCUCGGUUUUCAUCUAAGAAGAUAUUCAAUCCGAUCUCGUCUCUUCCGUUUUUAAUCGUCAAGUUGCUGGUACUAGUAAAGGUUCAAUCGGAAAGCAUGUCUUCCUCUCCCACUCAAUCUAGUACUUCAGUGUCACCGGUUGACCUGCCUAAAAGGACAUUUGCUGUUGAUUGUUAUCCAGGUCAUGUGGUUCAAAUUAACUCAUAUUCGAGACCUCGUUACCUAAUAGACAUUUUACAUAUACUUGCUGGAUUGCCUGAGCUACAAACGUUGUUGUCUUCUCCUCUUAGUGCACUUUUCUCGUUGCUGGUUCGAUAUUGCUCUCUCUUUGGCCAAUUAGUACAUCAAAUGUUAUGUAGACAGCUUUGUACUCCUAACAGUGACGCAAUGUGGUUUGUUUAUCGUGGCCAACCUUUAUGUUUCUCUCUCCUGGAAUUUGUACAAUUGACUAGUCUUUCAUGUGCGCCUUCUCUUCCGACAGCAGAGCUAGUGGCUGCAACUACUCAUUUUGACAGUUUUGCUCCAUACUGGUAUACCCUUAUUGGCCGCACAUUGGGGAGGAGACCGUUGAGGAUCUGGUCACCAUGUUGAAGAGUGAACCAAGCAUGCCAGCUUGGCGUAAGUUUAGACUCGCGUUAGUUGUUAUUGUUGAAGGAAUCCUACUGUGCAGAACGCAGCUAGUCAAACCAUUAGUAGAAGUUGUUGAGAUGGUGAAAAGUGUCGAUUUUUUCCUUCGCUACCCUUGGGGCCGCCAUUCAUUCAAACGCUUGAUAAGGCCUAUCUUAUAAAAAACCUCAAGCAAUCAUCACUCACUGUUCAUGGGUUCCCUCUUCCCAUUCAGCUCCUUGCUUUCAGAUCUAUCCCGUUGUUAACCAAGUUUUUGCGUCAUAGUGAAGAUCAGUCAACGUUCCUUGACUAGACUGUUACAUAUCUACGAACAUGCAAGUUGUUCCAUACUUCCAAUAUAUUGUCUAUUGAGAAGUUCUUUGAGAAUUGUGAUACUGCUUUCCCAAACACUCUCAAUAUGCAUCUUUGAUCAACAUAGACAUAUAUAAGCGUUCUUUGAUCAGACCUUGUUUGGUGGAAAUAGAAGAGUCUUUUUAUAGCAUAUAUGGAGAUGGUGUUUUGCAUAUGGUCUUUGUCUUUGAACAGUCGGCCAAUAUAGAUUGAAUCUUCUUCAGCGGAUACAGUUCCAGAACCGUCCGUCUUGGUCAAGUCAAUCACAUCAUCAAAGACUGGUUCUACAUCCUCAGCUUGCAUACCCUGCUCAUAGUUAAUCUCGUCACUGAAGGUCAUAAGCGGAGCUUAUAUCUUUGAGCUUUGAGUUGAGAUGAGAUGAUAGAAGAUGAUGAAGAUCUGAAAAUUUUCAUCUAUUAAUCACAGUAUGCGACGGUCCCAAUAUGUUUAUUGACGGUUAAAUCUGUAGAAGGAUCUUUCAAGUGGGUUUUGAAGACUCUAGUUGAUUUGAUUACUGGAUUAAGGAUCUAAAAAGAAGAUCAGCUCCAGUGGUGAAAGUGAUGAUGAUUUGGAUGAAAAGGUGGAGCUUUUGUCGGAAGUCGGUGAGCUUUAAUCGAUUCUGCUCUCCUAUCAAAUUAGAAUCAUCAACGCGUCUUACAUGUGUUAAUUGGACUUAUACUCAUGUAACAAAAAGAUAUAAUGUUUCUUUAAGCUUCAUAUUAAUAUUGAAGUCCAGUGAUGUUGGGCUUCGAAACCA
RNA transcript from Capsella rubella, 1807 nucleotides. RefSeq lists it as uncharacterized. The record is from RefSeq and is a predicted model, not a curated record. Lineage: Eukaryota; Viridiplantae; Streptophyta; Magnoliopsida; Brassicales; Brassicaceae. The transcript is spliced from 5 exons.